CACUAAUAGGGAACGUGAGCUGGGUUUAGACCGUCGUGAGACAGGUUAGUUUUACCCUACUGAUGAUUGUCACCGCAAUGGUAAUUCAGCUUAGUACGAGAGGAACCGCUGAUUCAGAUAAUUGGUUUUUGCGGCUGUCUGACAAGGCAGUGCCGCGAAGCUACCAUCUGCUGGAUAAUGGCUGAACGCCUCUAAGUCAGAAUCCAUGCCAGAACGCGGCGAUUUCCUCCCACACAUCGUAGUCGGAUACGAAUAGGCCUAUGGCCCUGAAUCUUAGCUAGUUGGCAAUGGGACAGCGGGAGAAGUCCACUGUCUCAGCUGACGCCUUGCAAUUUUACCAUGCGUGGGGAUAAAACCUUUGCAUACGACUUAGUUAUAUCAGACGGUGCUGUAAAUAGUAGAGUAGUCUUGUUAUUACGAUCUAUUGAGGCUAAGCCGCGCUGAUUUAGUUUUGU
Molecule: non-coding RNA, 455 nt
Filed under: Blumeria hordei DH14
Lineage: Eukaryota; Fungi; Ascomycota; Leotiomycetes; Helotiales; Erysiphaceae
Description: Blumeria graminis f. sp. hordei DH14 Eukaryotic large subunit ribosomal RNA
Rfam family: Eukaryotic large subunit ribosomal RNA
Source: Rfam by way of RNAcentral